RNAcentral lists this ribosomal RNA (2925 nucleotides) under Escherichia coli. Its description in RNAcentral is "23S ribosomal RNA". It matches the Rfam family "Bacterial large subunit ribosomal RNA". The record is from RNAcentral. Lineage: Bacteria; Pseudomonadati; Pseudomonadota; Gammaproteobacteria; Enterobacterales; Enterobacteriaceae.
GGGUUGUGAGGUUAAGCGACUAAGCGUACACGGUGGAUGCCCUGGCAGUCAGAGGCGAUGAAGGACGUGCUAAUCUGCGAUAAGCGUCGGUAAGGUGAUAUGAACCGUUAUAACCGGCGAUUUCCGAAUGGGGAAACCCAGUGUGAUUCGUCACACUAUCAUUAACUGAAUCCAUAGGUUAAUGAGGCGAACCGGGGGAACUGAAACAUCUAAGUACCCCGAGGAAAAGAAAUCAACCGAGAUUCCCCCAGUAGCGGCGAGCGAACGGGGAGGAGCCCAGAGCCUGAAUCAGUGUGUGUGUUAGUGGAAGCGUCUGGAAAGGCGCGCGAUACAGGGUGACAGCCCCGUACACAAAAAUGCACAUGCUGUGAGCUCGAUGAGUAGGGCGGGACACGUGGUAUCCUGUCUGAAUAUGGGGGGACCAUCCUCCAAGGCUAAAUACUCCUGACUGACCGAUAGUGAACCAGUACCGUGAGGGAAAGGCGAAAAGAACCCCGGCGAGGGGAGUGAAAAAGAACCUGAAACCGUGUACGUACAAGCAGUGGGAGCCUCUUUAUGGGGUGACUGCGUACCUUUUGUAUAAUGGGUCAGCGACUUAUAUUCUGUAGCAAGGUUAACCGAAUAGGGGAGCCGAAGGGAAACCGAGUCUUAACUGGGCGUUAAGUUGCAGGGUAUAGACCCGAAACCCGGUGAUCUAGCCAUGGGCAGGUUGAAGGUUGGGUAACACUAACUGGAGGACCGAACCGACUAAUGUUGAAAAAUUAGCGGAUGACUUGUGGCUGGGGGUGAAAGGCCAAUCAAACCGGGAGAUAGCUGGUUCUCCCCGAAAGCUAUUUAGGUAGCGCCUCGUGAAUUCAUCUCCGGGGGUAGAGCACUGUUUCGGCAAGGGGGUCAUCCCGACUUACCAACCCGAUGCAAACUGCGAAUACCGGAGAAUGUUAUCACGGGAGACACACGGCGGGUGCUAACGUCCGUCGUGAAGAGGGAAACAACCCAGACCGCCAGCUAAGGUCCCAAAGUCAUGGUUAAGUGGGAAACGAUGUGGGAAGGCCCAGACAGCCAGGAUGUUGGCUUAGAAGCAGCCAUCAUUUAAAGAAAGCGUAAUAGCUCACUGGUCGAGUCGGCCUGCGCGGAAGAUGUAACGGGGCUAAACCAUGCACCGAAGCUGCGGCAGCGACACUAUGUGUUGUUGGGUAGGGGAGCGUUCUGUAAGCCUGCGAAGGUGUACUGUGAGGUAUGCUGGAGGUAUCAGAAGUGCGAAUGCUGACAUAAGUAACGAUAAAGCGGGUGAAAAGCCCGCUCGCCGGAAGACCAAGGGUUCCUGUCCAACGUUAAUCGGGGCAGGGUGAGUCGACCCCUAAGGCGAGGCCGAAAGGCGUAGUCGAUGGGAAACAGGUUAAUAUUCCUGUACUUGGUGUUACUGCGAAGGGGGGACGGAGAAGGCUAUGUUGGCCGGGCGACGGUUGUCCCGGUUUAAGCGUGUAGGCUGGUUUUCCAGGCAAAUCCGGAAAAUCAAGGCUGAGGCGUGAUGACGAGGCACUACGGUGCUGAAGCAACAAAUGCCCUGCUUCCAGGAAAAGCCUCUAAGCAUCAGGUAACAUCAAAUCGUACCCCAAACCGACACAGGUGGUCAGGUAGAGAAUACCAAGGCGCUUGAGAGAACUCGGGUGAAGGAACUAGGCAAAAUGGUGCCGUAACUUCGGGAGAAGGCACGCUGAUAUGUAGGUGAAGUCCCUCGCGGAUGGAGCUGAAAUCAGUCGAAGAUACCAGCUGGCUGCAACUGUUUAUUAAAAACACAGCACUGUGCAAACACGAAAGUGGACGUAUACGGUGUGACGCCUGCCCGGUGCCGGAAGGUUAAUUGAUGGGGUUAGCGGUAACGCGAAGCUCUUGAUCGAAGCCCCGGUAAACGGCGGCCGUAACUAUAACGGUCCUAAGGUAGCGAAAUUCCUUGUCGGGUAAGUUCCGACCUGCACGAAUGGCGUAAUGAUGGCCAGGCUGUCUCCACCCGAGACUCAGUGAAAUUGAACUCGCUGUGAAGAUGCAGUGUACCCGCGGCAAGACGGAAAGACCCCGUGAACCUUUACUAUAGCUUGACACUGAACAUUGAGCCUUGAUGUGUAGGAUAGGUGGGAGGCUUUGAAGUGUGGACGCCAGUCUGCAUGGAGCCGACCUUGAAAUACCACCCUUUAAUGUUUGAUGUUCUAACGUUGGCCCCUGAUCGGGGUUGCGGACAGUGUCUGGUGGGUAGUUUGACUGGGGCGGUCUCCUCCUAAAGAGUAACGGAGGAGCACGAAGGUUGGCUAAUCCUGGUCGGACAUCAGGAGGUUAGUGCAAUGGCAUAAGCCAGCUUGACUGCGAGCGUGACGGCGCGAGCAGGUGCGAAAGCAGGUCAUAGUGAUCCGGUGGUUCUGAAUGGAAGGGCCAUCGCUCAACGGAUAAAAGGUACUCCGGGGAUAACAGGCUGAUACCGCCCAAGAGUUCAUAUCGACGGCGGUGUUUGGCACCUCGAUGUCGGCUCAUCACAUCCUGGGGCUGAAGUAGGUCCCAAGGGUAUGGCUGUUCGCCAUUUAAAGUGGUACGCGAGCUGGGUUUAGAACGUCGUGAGACAGUUCGGUCCCUAUCUGCCGUGGGCGCUGGAGAACUGAGGGGGGCUGCUCCUAGUACGAGAGGACCGGAGUGGACGCAUCACUGGUGUUCGGGUUGUCAUGCCAAUGGCACUGCCCGGUAGCUAAAUGCGGAAGAGAUAAGUGCUGAAAGCAUCUAAGCACGAAACUUGCCCCGAGAUGAGUUCUCCCUGACUCCUUGAGAGUCCUGAAGGAACGUUGAAGACGACGACGUUGAUAGGCCGGGUGUGUAAGCGCAGCGAUGCGUUGAGCUAACCGGUACUAAUGAACCGUGAGGCUUAACCUUACAACGCCGAAG